UAAUUAACCUUUACUAUGGGUUUAUUUCAGUCCGGACUCUAAACACUCCUAUACACACAGGUGGAAGAAGAGGAGGAAAACUCCUGGAAAGUAGCUGAAUUAAGAAAUUCUACAGAGUAUACCUGACUGCUGCUGGCCACCAGCUAAUCUGCUGGGGUUGCACCGCUGCCACUCCAGAAGAAAAAUAAAUGGCUUAAGAAUGAAAAGCAGAUAGGAGGAUACCACCCCAGAGAAUACCAGCCUGAGAGGACAAGGCGAUUUAGUGAGUCCUCACAAGUUUUGAGUGCCGGGUAGGUCAUCUGAAUAACACGGGGGCUCUGACUGAACGGCUGACGCCUGCUGCGUGGAGCGCCCAGCAAUUCAGCCUCAGCUGCCUGCGCUGCAUAGUCAUCCGGAUGCCUGU
Long non-coding RNA from Grus americana (Whooping crane), 403 nucleotides. RefSeq lists it as uncharacterized. Lineage: Eukaryota; Metazoa; Chordata; Aves; Gruiformes; Gruidae. The transcript has 3 exons. The record is from RefSeq and is a predicted model, not a curated record.